UACUAUUCCUGGGCACUUGGGAUAUAAUCCAGGAUAUCCAAGAUGUUUUGGGAUAUAAGGCAAGAUCCCAGCCCUGGUGAAACUUCUGUUGUAGCAGAGAAAAACAAACAAUACAUAAUACACAUAACAAAAUUACAUAAUGUGUUCUAUGGUGGUAAAUUCCAAGAACACAAAAGGAAAUAUGGAUCAGGUAAGGGGGACCUAAAGGUGGAGGAUGCAGCAUUAAAUACAGAGUCAGGGUGAGCCUUCAAAGGCAAUGACAAAAGGAAUUCCAGUUGUGGCUCAGCAGGUUAAGAACCCACAUAGUGUCAAUGAGGAUAUGGGUUUGAUCCCUGGCCUUCCUCAGUGGGUUAAGGAUCUAGCAUCACUGCAAGCUGUUGCAUAGGCCUGCAGCUGCAGCUCUGAUUUGACCCCUAACCUGGAAACUUCCAUAUGCCACAGGUGCAGCUAUAUAAAGAAGGAAAAAGAGAGAGAGAGAGAGAGAGAGAGAUGACAAUGAAAAACUUAAAGAUGGUGAGAGACUGGCAGUUAGAUAUCUCAGGGAGAAGAAACAACAAGAGCAAAGGCACUGAGGUAGGAGUGUAUCUGGCAUGUUUAUAAAAUGCCGGGAGCCCAGCAGGGUUAUAGCAGCAUGAUUAGAGGUGAGAAAUAACAGACAGAAGAGAUAACAGAGCCAGGUCAUGUAGGGAGCCCACUUUGCACUGGGAAGCCACUAGGAAUUUGAGCUAAAACUGUCACAAGCAACAAAGGUUUUACGUUUUCCUUAGGGAGACUGUGUAAGGAUGCUGUAGGAAUCCAUGUGGGAAAUGAUGGUGACACAUUCUACAGGGUCCCCAGUCUCAGAGGGAAACUUCCAGCACUUCACCAUUAAGCAACAUGUUUCCUGUAUACUGUUGAAAGCUAACAGUUUAAUGGUAGAUUCCAUUAUUGUUCAUUUUAACCAUAAAUUUUAUUCCUAAUUCCCUACAUUAUUUUUAAAAAUUAUGUGUAAAGUUUAUAGUAUGACUCUUUUGACUCAGCAUGAAUUGUCUUCAGUUUAUUUAAAUGUAGUGCAUUACAUUGGCUGAUUUUCUAAUAUAAUCUUGCAUGCCUAGAGCAAACCAUCAUGAUAUUUUCUUACUUGGAUGCUUGGUUACUUCUGACUGCGUACUGUGUCUUUUCAUUAAAAAAAAAAAGUGACUGUAUUAAUUAUUUCAAUCAUAGAACAAAAACUUUUUAAAGAAAUUCUGUGUGCUUGACAACAUUUGAUACUGUCAAGUUUCUGAUUUUUUUUUUUUUUGGCCAUUAAUAUAGUUUCAAAUAGUGAGGCGGCUUAAUAUUAUUGACAUAAUGUCUCUUUUAUCACAGUUUGUUACUAACUAGGAUAUCAUUGGAAUCUAUUCCUUGGCAUUUAUUUUGAUAUAUAACCAAAAUAUAUUUGGUUUUGUAUUGACCUUUUCUUGUUUUGAUAUAUAACCAAAAUAUAUUUGGUUUUGUAUUGACCUUUUCUUGUUUUGGCAUAAAAGUUGUAAAAGUCCCAUAGUUGUGUGAAUUUUUCUCUUUUAUUUUCUCAACUAAAUUAUAUAUCGUGAAAUUUUUAAAUUGAUUCAUUGUUUCUCUUCUUUCCAUUUUAUUUUUCCUGAUUGAUAUUGGACUAAUAAAGAUUUCUAUAAUCCAUAUUCUCCACUUAUUUGAAGCUGCAAAUUAUAUUACUAAUGUUCAAAUAAUUUACCCAAAUUUAACUGCACAUUUUUCUAAUGAAAUCUAAAGUUAUUUAAUGUCUUUUUCUCCCUUGAAAAACAUGUCAAAAAUUUUAGCAUGCCUUAAAAACAUACAGCAUUCCUAUUAUGUUAUUGCUGUCUAUACUUUAAUUUCACCUUUUUAAACACUUUUUUUUCAUUUAUAGACAGAAUUUUAUUUUUUCUGUGCUCACUGCUCACUUUUUCCCCUUUCCAUGCUCUGAGUUCACAUCCCCUCUACCUGAAGUGCAUAUUGUAAUAAACUUUUGGAUAUUAUUCUGUAAAUGGUAACACUCUUGGUGUAAUUGAAAACUGUCUCUACCCUCACGCAGGAAUGGAGAUUAAGCUGAGUGUAAAAGUCUAGGUUAACAAUGAGUUUCCUUCAGGACUUUGAAUAUAUGAUUCUAUUGUCUUCUGGAAAUUCUUCUGGGUGAUAUCCGUUCUCAGUCAGAUUACAAUUUAUAUGUAGGAAUCUGUCUUUUCUCUCUGCUGGCUCUUAAGAUUCUUCUCUUUCUCAUCAAUGUUUUUUAAUUUUACUCUUACAUGUAAUUGUGAAUUUUUGUUCUUCCUAUAUGGCGUUUGUUGUGUAUUUUCUAAGGACUCAGAAUUUCUUAAAAUCUCAAAAGCCUCACUUUUACAUCUUUAUAUAUUGCUUAUCUACUAUUCUAUCUAUCCUCCUUAGAGAAAUGCUGCUAGACAUAAAGUGGGGAUUAUCAAUCUAGCAUCCACUUACAUAAUGCUUUUCCAGUUUUCACUUUUUUCCUGUCACCACUACUUGAUUCUGGGUAAAUUCUGCAUCCAGCUUCAAAUAGCUCUUGUUCCUUUGGGUCCAUUCCAUAUGCCCUCUAAUCUAUUAUAUUCUUUAAUUUCAAUUUUUAUAAAUCCCAAGAUUUCAAUUUGACACUUUCAUAGUUUUUUAGUUUACUUUUACCAUAAUCUCUUCAUUUUAAUGGAUGUUAUCAAAGUAUUCAUCUUUUGGCAUUCAAAAUAUACUUUUAUUGAUUAUUUAAGAUGAUAUUAAGUUCAUUUAACAAGAAAUAAUUGACACUGGAAAUAUGAGUAAUGCCAGCCUUCCUUCUUAGUGUGUGGUUGAGAAUGGUAUUUGCAGUCUGCCUUGAGACUCCCCCUGGCCCCUGUAGUCGGUCAGAGUAGAAAGUCAGAGCGUGCCUCCUGCCAGGUCCCAGAACUAGUUUUUAAAUGGCAUGCUAGGGCUUUCCCUCCUUACAGAUUGAGCUGGCAGCUUUGCUGGUUUUCUUGUCAUGACUUUCUUUCUUCCUCUUUCCUCUAUAGCCCACAGCUUCCUCUAAAGCCAUGGAUCAAGCAGAUUUUCUACAAACAAUUUUUUCAGCCUUCUUUCACUGGCUGUGAAGACACUGAACCUGCCUCCUAUCUCCAAUCUAAUAUGGAACACUUUUCCCCAUGGUUACUCCUCUGAAUUGAACUUCUGUCUACCACAUCUUUCUUUCUCAUCAGCCAGGAAGACUAUGGCCUCAGGCUGUAAAAAGGUUAGCUUGUAAGGGCCCAUGUUCUGGUCAAAAACAAUUGGAAAAAACUAGAUAAGACUUUUUAAAUGUGCAGACAUUGGAGAUACAAGGAGGAAGUUUGGACUUGAGGUGCUUGAUCCAAAAGAAAGGCAGGCACAUUGAAGUGAGCACAACUUUCUGGAAGCCAUGUUUACCCCUGUGAAUUUGCCUAUUCUCAGCACAAGAGGUGAAGCUGAGAUGCUUGACAGAAACUCACUGCUACAAGAUAUAAAACUAACAAAGACAUUUACUACCUCAUGAGGCUGAAGAUUUUUAAAAAACAUGAAAUUUUGUGGCUGCCAAGGCAACCAAGCCUGCAGGAAAUAAGAUCUAUGAGAGAAGAGAGAGAGAGAGAGAAUAAAUCUGAUAGACAAUGGUUCAUAUCAGGGAUUCUCAUCCUCCAUACUAUUGAUUUGUUGAGACAGAUAACUCUCCAUCCUGUGCAUGUUUGGAUAUUUAGCAGCAUUCCUGGCCCUACCCAGUAGAUGUUAGCAGAACCCACAUCCCACCCCCACUCCCAGAGUUACGUGAAGCAAAAAUGUCUUCAGAUGUUUUCCAACAUCUCCUGAGGAACAAAAUCACCCUGAUUAAUAACCGACAUUUUAGACUUCUGAAAUAUUUGUCAGAUCCUUAAGGUAUACUGAGUAAUAGCCUAAGAAACCAAGCAGGAAAAGAAAAAGCAGAAUAUCUGAAAAACAGAACAGAAUAAUCAAGUCACAGGCACUGAGGAGAUAAAAAAUAGAGUUUCUUAGGGGGAGAGAUCAUAGAAAACAAUCCAGUCUCUAAACUAGUACCUUGGAGAGAUUUACAUUGCAACUGGGAUGGUCUAUUCUAGUCUGAGCCUAACAACAAUAGCAACUCAGCACAUAAUGAACUCAGGUCCUGAUUAGCUGUGAUGUGCUUUAUAAUAACUGUCUGCCAGACAACAAAGGAAAUCAUCACCAGAGGAAGAUAACAUCAGCCAGAAAUUCUAAAAUUUUUUAAUACACAAUGUCUUAUGCUCAAUCAAAACUUUUCUCACAUAACAAGAAACAAGACCAACAAACAGAAAAUAUAACAGAUAAUAAAAUGGAUCCAUAGGUGGCCAAGGAAUUGAGGUUAUCAAAUACUGACUUUAAAGAAAAUAUUAUUCAAUAAGCCAAAGUUAUAAGGACAAGAAAAUAAAUGACGAUUUAAAAUAUAAAGCUUAAAUCUUCAAUUGUAAAUUUUAGAACUAAAAAAAAUUAUAUGAUUGUUAAUGAGGAUCAAAAGAAGACUUUAACAGUAGAUAAGAUAUUUCUUGGCACAUGACCCCUCAUGGCUCUUACCAUUGCUUCAUUUGUCACAUCUUCUUUGACUUUCAUCUUCUAAAUAUCCUUGUGAAAAUAUGGCCCAAGGUAGAUAAUGCAGGAUACUCUCCAAUUGCAAGUGCCUUAACCUAACCAUAUCUGCAAAAUUUAAUAAAAUGUUGUUAAAUUUAAAAACUGGCAAAACCAUACACUGAAAACUCAAAAUAUUAUUGAGAUGGAAAGACAUACCAUGUUCAUGGAUCAGAUGACUCAAUAUAUUCGAGAUGUCGAUUCUCUUUAAACUGGUCAGGGUUUUUUUUUGUUUUCUUUCUGUGUAUGUGGAAAUUGACAUGUGGAUACUAACAUUUCUAUUGAAAUGCAAAGGGCCUAGAAAAGUCAAAACAAUUUUGAGAAAUAAAAAAGUUGGAGGACUUAACCUGAUUUCAAAAAUUUCCUUUAAACUAAUAUAAUCCAGAGAGUGUUGUACUGGUGUGAUUAUAUGUAUAUAAUGACUGUAAGAGAAUAGAGAGUCCAGAAAUGGACUGACACAUAUGUGGUCAAUAAAUUUUUAACAAAGGUACCAAGUUACUUGUAUGGGAAGAAAAUUCUGAAACAAUUAGAUAUGGAAAUAAAUAAACCUUAGCUCUUAUUUCACAUAAUAUAAAAACAUUAGCCUGAUGUUAAUUAUAGACCUAAAAGUAAGAGCUAAAACUGUAACAUUCUAAGAAUACACAGGAAAAAAUCUUUGUAAUUUUGAUAAGUGAAGUGUUCUUAGCACACAAAAGGAAUAAAACACACACACAAAAGGAUAAGUUUGGCUUUAUCAAAAGGAAAACUUUUGCUCUUCAAAAGAUACUUUCAAGAAAGUAAAAAAAAGUCACAGAUUAGAAGAAAAUAUUUCAAAAAUUUGACCUCACAGAGUAUUGUGUCCAUAAUAUAUAAAAAUUCUUUCAACUCAAUAAUAAAGAUCCAAUAAUUCAAUUUUUUAAAUAGGUGAAAGAUUUGAACAGAAAGUUUACCAAAUAAUAUAAAUGAAAAAUAAGCUCUUGAAAAUAUAUGUAAUGUUAUUAGUCACCAGGAAUACACACAUUUGAAACCACAGUGAGAUAUUACUGUAUACCCGUAAAGAAGCUAAAAUUAAAAAAUCUAACAAUAGUAGGUGCUAGGGAAGAUUUGGAGAAACCAAAACUCUCAUAUAUUGCUGAUGGGGAUGCAAAUAAUAUAAUUACAUUGGAAAGUAAUUCAGCAACUGUUAACUACUUAAACGUACUUUUACCAUAAAACUAAGCAUAUUAACUAGUAGGUAUUUAAACAAACAAAUACAUAUGUCCACACAAUGAUUUUUACUAGAAUGUUCAUAGCAGUUUGUUUCUUAAUAGCCAACAAUUGGGGGGAAAGAUAUAUAUAUACAUAUAUACACAUACUCAUAUAUGCAUAUAUAUAUUUACAUCUACUGAUGAAUUAAGAAAAUGCAUCACAUGCAUAUAAUUGACUACUGCUCAGUAAUAAAAAAUAACAAUUUAUUUACACAUGUAAAUACAGAUGAAUCAAUCACAAAGUACAAGUAAAAGAUAUCAGAUACAAAUGACUACUUAAGUUUGUUUCAAUUUUUAUGAAAUUCUGGAAAAGCCAAAACUAUAGGAACAGGAAACAUGUUUUCCUGGGGUCCACGGGUGCUUUUGACUGGAUAUGGUCACGGGGUAACAAAAAUAUUAUAUAAAAUCUUCUGAUUGUGAGUGAUUAUUUAUAUAUUGUUAUAAAAGUUAAUCAAGUUGUAGGUUUAAAACAGCAAAUUUUUGGAGAUCCCACUGUGGUUAGUGGGUUAUGAACCCAAUAUGUAUCCAUGAGGAUGCAGGUUCGAUCCCUGGCCUUGCCCAGUAGGUUAAG
This 6396-nucleotide long non-coding RNA is filed under the name Sus scrofa (pig). RNAcentral describes it as "lncRNA (ENSSSCG00000062326.1)". The record is from RNAcentral. Lineage: Eukaryota; Metazoa; Chordata; Mammalia; Artiodactyla; Suidae.